GCAGCCGCGGUAAUACGUAUGGGGCGAGCGUUAUCCGGAAUCAUUGGGCGUAAAGCGCGCGUAGGCGGCUGUCCAAGCGGGGCGUCAAAUCCCGGGGCUCAACCCCGGGCCGCGCCCCGAACUGGGCGGCUUGAGUCCGGUAGGGGGAGGCGGAAUUCCCGGUGUAGCGGUGAAAUGCGCAGAUAUCGGGAAGAACACCGGUGGCGAAGGCGGCCUCCCGGGCCGCGACUGACGCUGAGGCGCGAAAGCUAGGGGAGCGAACAGGAUUAGAUACCCC
RNAcentral lists this ribosomal RNA (277 nucleotides) under uncultured Rikenellaceae bacterium. RNAcentral's name for it is "partial 16S ribosomal RNA". It matches the Rfam family "Bacterial small subunit ribosomal RNA", at positions 511 to 788 of the family's 1533-position model. The record is from RNAcentral. Lineage: Bacteria; Pseudomonadati; Bacteroidota; Bacteroidia; Bacteroidales; Rikenellaceae.